Oreochromis niloticus (Nile tilapia) is the source of this 2273-nucleotide long non-coding RNA. RefSeq lists it as uncharacterized. The record is from RefSeq and is a predicted model, not a curated record. The transcript is spliced from 2 exons. NCBI's taxonomy places the organism in Eukaryota, Metazoa, Chordata, Actinopteri, Cichliformes, Cichlidae.
UUGGCCUAUAAUUAGCUAAGACAGCUGGGUCUAGAGAUGCUUUUUGAGUAAAGGUUUAACUAUCAGAUGAUACACAGGGUCUGAGUGUGUUCUGUUUCCAGCAGUGUAACACAGACUCAUCUGCACAUUAGCAUCAUAAGAACAACAUUUAAACAUUUCUGCGUCACUAGAUUCAUGCAUGAACUGACGAGACGCCGCACACUUCAUUCAAAGGUGCUGCUGAACACGCUGCACACACACAACAGAACAUCUGCACUGAACAAUAAAGGAAGCAGUGAAAACUCUUCCUGCUCAUUUUAAACCAAACUCUCAUCAUCUAGCAUUAGUUACCAUGGUGACGGAGCAGGUCAAACGAGGCACUUUAGUGACCCAGAAAACUGUGACUGAGCUCAGCGUCAGUCGUUGAUUAUUAACCUUUAUAGAGCAGCACUCACACCACAUCCUCACACUGAUCACAGAUCAGUUCUAAAAGUAGAAACAAACUAACAGCAGAGUGUCGUCUCUGUGCUUUUAAAGCUUUAAACUUCUGUUUUUGUGAACCAGACCUUCAGACAGCUGCUUCAGGUGGAGGAGUGAGGUGGUGCCACCACAGAGUGGUGUCUGAGGCAAAGCGGGUGUCAUGUUACUGCUACACAAACUGACACCGUGUGCUGCGUCGAUCCUGAGUCUGCUCUCUCUUUGUUUAAGCCUCUGUAGAAACCGACACUUCUCAUUAAACCGUUGGUGAUUUCCUUUUUCACGUUUCCUGCCAGCGAGGCGACGAAACUGCAGCUGUGAACGGAGCCGAGUAAGCUCGGGUCAGGAUGGAGUGAGGCAGACCAGGUUGAAGCCGUGGAGGUGGAGUCAUACUUCCUGCUGUCAGGAGAGGAGGUGGGCCACGUGGCGAGAGCUGGGAGGACAACAUCCAGGUUUGAGGAGCCUGAGAAGGAGCAAAGUCCCCCGUGGAUGAGCAGUGUCGUGCACGCCCGGACUCUGAAGUCCUGGCUUUGGUUCCCAGCUGUGAAACACGACUCCGACCUGUGAGGAGGAUCGUCUUCCCGUGACGGUCGUGGUGCAGAGGGUUUUAUUACUUUGGCCUCUGUCAGAGACAUCCAGAUCAUUGCUUCCUCUGGUGCUCUGCCUGAUCUGGGAGAAUCUGGCUCGACUUAUUGAACUGGCUGAAACCAGGAAGCAGCAGCCAACAUGAAUCAUGCUGUGAGCGCAGAUUCAGCUGUAGAGCCCUCAGACAGGAGCCCCGCCCUCUGGUCUGUGACCUCAGCUGUUUCCUCUUAAGCCCGGUUGCCUGUUUUCUGUGUGAUGUCAUCAGAGCAGCUGUUUGGUGGUUGUGGGCAGCACGCUCCUGUUUUCAUGUUUCAUUAACCAGUUUCAGCUGAAACUGAAUUUAGAUGUGGAGCUCUCAGACUCGUGUCAGAGGACACACUGACAAACUUCCACAGACCCAGGCUGGAGCUCUGAUUGGUCGUCUGCUUUAACCUGUACUACAAAGCUAACACACACAUGUAGAAAAUAACACGUAUGAGAGAGAGUGGAGUCUGAAAGUGAUCGCCCACUUUGUCACGGUAGGCUAGCUGACUGUAGCUGAGCAUGUGAGCACGUCUCUCUGACCCUGUAAUGAACACGUGGAUGACAGACUACAUAAGACUGUAUGUAAUUCAGAGACCGAAGAAUCUAAAACAGUAAACAGAAUACGACAAAUAUGCCUAAAAAUGUUUGAUCUUGCUCAAAAGUCAAAUAACAAAAACACUGCCAGAACAUCUACAGUGUGCCGUGACGCUGUGCUCCUCACCUGGAAGCUCGGCGCUCCAACACCGACGCUUCAGAAAGAGCUCAGUGUUUGUAAAGCUGCUGAGCUGCACGUGUUUAAACGGGGUUUUAACAGGAAGCUGCGACGUUUGGUACAUAAGAACAAAUCUUUAUUUAUAAAACACUUUAAAACAACCACAGCUGACCCAAAGCGUUGUACACACUGAAUAAUAAAAUUACAUCAGAUAUAAAUAAAAGCCAAAUAAAAGAAAAAAGUUAAAUAAUAAAUUUGUUUUUCAUGUAAUUAAAUUAGUUAUUAAUGAAGUCUCUGUGACGUCAAAAAUCAAAGAAUAAAAAUGUGUUUUAAACGUAGACAGUGAAGGGGCCUCUCUAAUGUGCAGGGGUAAGUUAUUCCAUCAUCUAGGAGCCACAACAGAAAAGGCCCCGCCCCCUCUGAGCUUCCUCCUGGAUCUCAGUACUUCCAGGAGCAGCUGGUCAGCUGACCUGAGAGGUAGCAGGGUGUGUGAGGA